GGCAGCAGGAGGCUCAAGAACUAAGAGGCGCCAUUUUUGGGAGUUUCUUAACCGAAGAUCCUGGCAUGGCUCACUCCGCCCUCGGGCCCCAUAGAGUAAUUACGGACAGAUGGAAGGGCAUGUCGCCGGAACAGAAGAAGGAGAUUCAAGGAAUCCGCGAGAGACAAGUAGAGGAAAAGAAGCGUCGCGACGAAGCUGCUCAACGCGAGUACCAGGAGUGGGAGGAGCUUGCGGAGAGGGCGGACCGAGUGGGCGUGCUCCUCGAACAACGGGAUGUCAAGACCAGGAG
Molecule: long non-coding RNA, 289 nt
Organism: Penaeus chinensis
Lineage: Eukaryota; Metazoa; Arthropoda; Malacostraca; Decapoda; Penaeidae
Exons: 3
Source: RefSeq, a predicted model, not a curated record